GACGAACGCUGGCGGCGUGCUUAACACAUGCAAGUCGAGCGGUAAGGCCCUUUCGGGGGUACACGAGCGGCGAACGGGUGAGUAACACGUGGGUGACCUGCCCUCAGCUCUGGGAUAAGCCCGGGAAACUGGGUCUAAUACCGGAUAUGACUCCAUGACGCAUGUUGUGGGGUGGAAAGCCUUGUGCGGCUGAGGAUGGGCCCGCGGCCUAUCAGCUUGUUGGUGGGGUGAUGGCCACCAAGGCGACGACGGGUAGCCGGCCUGAGAGGCGACCGGCCACACUGGGACUGAGACACGGCCCCAGACUCCUACGGGAGGCAGCAGUGGGGAAUCUUGCGCAAU
RNAcentral lists this ribosomal RNA (342 nucleotides) under uncultured bacterium. Its description in RNAcentral is "bacterial SSU rRNA". It matches the Rfam family "Bacterial small subunit ribosomal RNA", at positions 28 to 372 of the family's 1533-position model. The record is from RNAcentral.